UAGCUUUCCAUUUGUUUGUAUCCUCUUCUAUUUCUUUCAUCAGUGUUUUAUAGUUUUCCUGAUAAAGGUCUUACUUUGGUUCUUACAUUUCUCUGAUGAGUGGGUUAUGAAAGAAUCUAGGUAGAAAUAGUGACCAUGUCUAGGGAAAGAAAACUCAGAAUUUCUAAGAAGGGACGUCACAGAACUAAGUAGGGUUUCAGGACAGUUAUGCUUGCAUGUGGUUUCUUAACUGGCCUGCUGCUUCUUUCCAAAGUUUAAUCAGCCAGGUAGGUACUGAGCAUAAAUUCAGUGCUGGCACCUUUGCUGGCUGGGAUGUGAACAGAAAUAAAUAAUAUCAGGCCCUGCUUCCCCUAGGCAGCCUCCCACACAAGACCAAGUGGAUGUCUUGAUCAAGGGCAGAUUCCAUGGGCAUGGUGGAAAUCAUAAUGGUGAUGGUGAUGAUGAGUAACAUGAUAGAGUACUAACUCUAAGCCAAGCACCGUUACAAGUACUUUACAAAUAUUACUCAUUUGAUUCUUACAAACAUUCUUAUCCUCAUUUUAUAGGUGGGGAAACCAAGGCAUGGGGGAGGUGAACUAACUUGCCACACAGCUGAUAAAUACUAGAGCUGGUGAAGAAGGAGGCCGUCAGGGAAGGCUUCUGGGGAAGGUGCUGCACCUGUGCCAGGCCUGGAGCAGGUGAUAUCAAUAUGGAAGAAAGGGGAAGGCAUCACGCUUAGCUGGGGCAUGGUUUGUACUGGCUACAUGUCUCUUUGGAGUCCUGUUGCCAACCUGCCCACACUGGGCUCAGCAGCCCCAGGGAACUCUGGGCCUGCCCUGGCCUCCACCUGCCACACUGCCUUAGUGAACAUUCCCUCAGCCUGGCACAAAGCAGGAGGUUUUGGGUAGUUGCUGGACCCUUGGGACUUGAUGUUUACACCUGCUCACAGGUGGAUGCUGCUUCAACAACCACUCCUGAUUUCUUUUGAUACUUCUCUUGCUGAAAAUAGUUGAAUUACAAAAACAAUGCACAGUCAUGAUAGAAAAUGCGCAAUCAUUAUGCACGGAGUGGGAAGACAACCAGAACCGACUCCUGCUGCUUUUUCAAGUUGGAGGAGAUGACUCUCAAAAGGUUUCUUGAUGAAAUUUCCAACAUAAAAGACAAGAUCUUAUUGCUGGAAGAAGUGGAUUUUGUGAGGGAGGGCCUCAUACUCUGCAUAUGAAAACAAAGAACCUGAGGAUUUUGUUGUGUCCUCUUGGUGGCAGGUGAGUAUCCUGAAGGCACAGAGUGGAGCCUGGAGGGGGCAGAAGUGAGGCCAUCCCUCUCCCCUGGUGAGCGUCCAGUGAAAAUCUCCCAGAAGCAGGGUCAGCCAGGACACGUCAGAACAGAGAUGUUCAUGUAGAUUUUAAGUUGUCUAUAGUACCAUGUAGGGCUGUAGCCCCUCAGCAGUGCCUCAUGUAAGAUACUCCUUGGGGGAAGUCAAAGAAAAGGGGCAGUGUUCCAUAUUUGGGUUAACUAGGGGCAGACAGAAGGGAACAGCUGCAGAAAGCAGGAUGCCAGGGAAAUCGAGAGCAGCAGGAAGAGGAAACUGGAGUGAACAUGACAGCUACUAGCACCAGGAAAUUUGCAGCGGUGUUGGGGGAGGGCCAUGGACUUUGCACAAGACAUAGGACGAAUAUUUCAGCCAUUUUUAUUUCAAUGUUAAAAGAAAGCAUGAUCCCGUUAAUCUGGAAGAUUUGAGGAUACUGAGAUGGCAGAAAUAUGGGCUACAAACAUAAACAAAUGGAAGAAAAUACCCCCUCUCCACCCAUCAAGAAGAAAGAGUAACUCCAAACAUUUUGAUCUGCAUGGAAGCCCUGCCCUUUGAAGUCGCUCAUGGACCCAGACUGAUAGAGGAUCUGUCUCAGCACAUGCUUCAAGAUUCUCAUACGUACAGAAAACAGAGAACAUGGUUAACCCUGAGCUGGCUCCUAAAGCUUCUUCCCAGAAGAUACACACACCACUUAGCCAAAGUAAAUCACAUAGGAUUCCUAGUACAAUGGUGAAGUGAUGAUAGCAGGUAUUCUACUGUGUUCCCUGUUGCAGAGAAGCUUUUAAGUUUUCACCAUUAAAUAACUUUGAAGAUAUUCCAUUGUCUCUGGCUUCUACAGUUUCCACUGAUAAGUUACCUGGCAGCCUCAUUGUUGUUGUUCCAGUCAAGGUAAUCUCUCGAUUCUUUACUGUUUUUGAUAUUGUUUCUUUGUCAUUUUUUAAAAAUAAUUUACUAUUAUUUGCCUGAAUGUGGUAUUUAUUCAGCGUGGGUUUCACAAUGUGUCCUGAAUCUGGGGCUUUGUCUUUUGUCAGUUUUAGAAAUUCUUCAUCCACUAUCUCUUUAGAUACUGCUUUUUCAAAUUUUCUCCCCUGUCCUUCCAGGAUUCUGUUUACACAUACGUUAGACCUUAGCACUGUAUUCUGUAUGUCUUUUAUGUUCAUAUCUGUAUUUUCAAUCCCUUUGCCUCUCCAUGAAUCUGGUUAUUCAUUGUGGAUAUUUUCU
Homo sapiens (human) is the source of this 2512-nucleotide long non-coding RNA. RefSeq lists it as uncharacterized. Lineage: Eukaryota; Metazoa; Chordata; Mammalia; Primates; Hominidae. The record is from RefSeq and is a predicted model, not a curated record. The transcript is spliced from 4 exons.